RNAcentral lists this ribosomal RNA (478 nucleotides) under Cristatella mucedo. RNAcentral's name for it is "partial 16S ribosomal RNA". It matches the Rfam family "Archaeal large subunit ribosomal RNA", at positions 1944 to 2653 of the family's 2987-position model. Lineage: Eukaryota; Metazoa; Bryozoa; Phylactolaemata; Cristatellidae. The record is from RNAcentral.
GUAUUGCCUGCCCAGUGGCGAGUCUUAACGGCUGCAGUAUUUUGACUGUACAAAGGUAGCGUAGUCACUUGUCCCCUCAUUAGGGACUAGAAUCAAUGGCUAAACGAGAGCUUAGCUGUCUCACCCAUAUUCCUAAAAACUUACCUUUAAGUGAAAAGGCUUGAAUCCCCUAAGAGGACAAGAAGACCUUAUGGAGCUUUAGAAGUGAAGCUCUGAAGCACUACUAUUCAUAAAAAGAGUGUAGAGCUUAGAACAUUGGUUGGGGCAACCGAGGUACCUCAGAACUACCUCUUGAAGAGCUGCUUAUAAGCACCUAUUAAGGAACAAAGAUGCUCUUAUGGAGAUCAGGAGAAUAAGCUAUCCUAGGGAUAACAGGGUUAUUCUCCCCAAGAGCUCCUAUCGAAGGGAGAGUUGCCACCUUGAUGUUGGACUAGGACAUCCAGUAGGUGUACCAGCUUACAAUGGUGAGCUUGUUCGG